AUACGGAGGGUGCAAGCGUUACUCGGAAUCACUGGGCGUAAAGCGCGCGCAGGCGGCCAUUUAAGUUGGACGUGAAAGCCUACGGCUCAACCGUAGAACUGCAUCCAAAACUAUUUGGCUAGAGUGUGGGAGAGGAAGACGGAAUUAGUUGUGUAGGGGUAAAAUCCGUAGAGAUAACUGGGAAUACCAAAAGCGAAGGCAAUCUUCUGGAACAUUACUGACGCUGAGGCGCGAAAGCGUGGGGAGCAAACAGGAUUAGAUACCCUUGUAGUCC
RNAcentral lists this ribosomal RNA (274 nucleotides) under uncultured bacterium. RNAcentral describes it as "partial 16S ribosomal RNA". It matches the Rfam family "Bacterial small subunit ribosomal RNA", at positions 523 to 796 of the family's 1533-position model. The record is from RNAcentral.